RNAcentral lists this long non-coding RNA (3540 nucleotides) under Anthonomus grandis grandis. RNAcentral's name for it is "uncharacterized LOC126746939". Lineage: Eukaryota; Metazoa; Arthropoda; Insecta; Coleoptera; Curculionidae. The record is from RNAcentral.
AGCAUCUUGAAGUCUUGAAUACUAACCAUUACUUCUAUUAUUUUUCUUUUACGUUCUAGGCAAUGGUCAGAAAAUAAGUGUGAAAUUCCAAAAAAGACCCUUUUACAAUUCCAGCAUAUCGUGUACGUACCCAUGUAAGACGGCAAGAUAGAAAGUGGCGUGCAUAGGGCUGGUAGAUAAGAUUUUAACUCUCUUCCUGAAUAAGGAGGCAGCAAUGGCGAAGGGGGUUCAUACAAGAAGGGCCCAUGUAUUUGAGUUAAAAUAGUAUUGAUGAUCGGAAUCAUCUAUACCAACGGGAAUGGAGUAAAAUUCCAUGAUCUAAAUAAUAAUCCUGGAAUACUGCCGUACAAAUUAGGAUCGUCGGAGAAAAAGAGCCCACCAACAAGACAGGGGAUCCUACCCCCAAAUCCCCCGAAGCCAGGAUGGACUUUUCAUCUAUCCAGGAGGAGGAGCUGCUAAGGUCCGCCAGCUAAGGUACCAGCCGCCAGCAACUCAGAAGCUGAAGUAAGCGAAAACUCCUCGACCAGGGCAGACCAAAAGGUUUUGACCAGGCGGGAGUUAACGCUACCGAAGUCGAAAAAUCGCUGCGACUCAAGAAAAACAAAGAAGCAGGCAACGAACCGCAACCGCACAAAGAGGCGGAAAGAGGAAAGACAGAGGAAGAAGGCGGAGCGAGAAGCCAACCAGGAGGGAUCAACAGUUCCUCCAGGACUAGCUUCUGCUUCUAGAAAUUCUGUUGUAGAAGGCAGCUCUAAGGGCAACACCAAAAUCUCGAACAGCGGGCAACACCCGAGGACUUGCCAGCUAGUAAAAGGGCGUGGACCAAGGGCAAGAGAUGUAAGGCGAGAGGCAGAUAAGCUGAAGCCAAUCAUCCUGCUUACGGCACCCGCCGCUGUCAGGAAAGGGGACACCCAGCACCGGCGCCUCUAGCAAAAAGAGGCAAAUCAAAAAGGACACUCCACCCGACCGCCAGCAUAAGAAGCCUAGGCAACAGCGCAGGUAUAUCCCUCAAAAAGAUGUGCAGACAGGCGCGUCUCCCCUUCUAAGGAGAGAUACCCAGUCAGGGCAUCCACGAGGGACAAAUGACCAACCCAGUUCCGGCUCCUAUAGCAGGGCAGUCAACAGGGCAAAUCAGGUCGUUUUUAGGUCAGACAGAGAAGGUGGUGGUCAGGUCACCCUGACUAAAGAGGAGACGGACCGGACCGCCUAAGGCUCCAUCUCAUCUCUAAGAUGAGGAGGACCAGGACUGAGCUCCACUCCCGAAACUCCGGACUCACAGAGACUUUUUGGUCACGACGGAGGACGAACCCUCAAAAGACUGGCUUUUGAGCUCCUGUCAACCGCUGACCGAGGGGAGUCACACCUUCACCUUCACGGUGAAGUCAUCCGACGCCCCAUGGACAGGGGAGAUAGUCUUCACUCUGAGGACACCGGAGCGGCCAGACUUAGAGUAUGUCAGGGAAAUCCUUGACAUACAGAAUAGGGCCUUAAGCGUCCCCAGUUGGCAACACCUGAGGACGGAGGGCGAGUCUGGAAGGUUUAACCUUCAUUUCAUGGUGAGUAGGGAGGUUGCUGCUCGACUCGAGGAGGCCAGGUGAACACUCUUCUUCGAAAUGGUCACUGUCCGAGCUUUUCGAGUGACCGUUCGGCGAACGCCCACCAGCCCCAGCACCGCAGCCGUAACCUCCAAGCCACCAAAAGGGAAGUCUUAGGCAGGGAACAAAUAAGAGGACUAGGGGCCACCGGCUUCAAUCUUAUAGCCGGUGGUGAAGGAGACCAGAGGCCCAGAACGUGUCUCUUAGCAUCCAUGGAGCUUUAACUAACACCAUUACCACAAGUAAGCUCCAAGGAUGCUACGGCAGCUCUGCUAGAGUACACGGUACCCAUAAACAUCAAGAAAAUGAGAGAUUUAAAAAAAACUGCAACCUUACCUUGCCGGCUACGAGGCAUUUUAUGACCGGAUUUUUGAAUGGCCUACUACAGAUAGAGAUGCACCACAAUCCAUUGAAGAGAUUUAAAUUUAAACUUUAAGAUGUAUUUUACUCGCGGUUUUAAGAAUAUUUUUUCCUAGUUAUCUAUAAAAUGUAAUAGAAAAAAAAGUGCUGCAAUAUAAAUAACUGACAACAUUAUUUCCUAAUUACUCCAAAAAAACUUCUUAAAAAAAAAAACUUAAAAAAUGUAAAUAAGAUAAGACGUCAGAUGCGCGACGAAUUUUCCCGCCGCAAUGAAAACCAUUCGAUAAAAGAUAUGCACAUAUUCGGAAAAUUUAAAGUUUCCUGAUAUCGUCACUACCAAUUCCUGAUCAUUUCCACCCAUUUUAAGCCGCUAAUUUUCGAAUUGAGAAAGUCGGAUACGCCCGAACAUAGAAUUUGCCGCCGUGACACCGAAAACCCCGCGGUUGCGUCAUCUGGCCAUGUACAGCGCGUUGCGGAAAAACAUUUAAAGAAAAACGGUUUUUAGUGGAUUAUAGCCAGAUAGUGUCCGGUGAUUUCAGAAAAAAAAUGGUUUUCGUAGGUGUCAUAGGUAUGCCGGUAUUAAGCGUCAAAGUUAAAAAAAGGUGUAGAGCAAAAACUACUCUACGUAGGAGGUUGUAGACUAUGUCGAAAAAUAGGAUUUAAAAAGUUCUUAAAACGCUGAAAGUUUAAAAUCUCUAGGUGCCGCCAAUAAAGAGUUAUUAAGAAAAGUGGAAAAAAACGGUCAAAAAAAGGCUCAAAAAGGGGUUUAUAUUUGUUAACACAGCUCACCCUGUAUAAUACGUAGCGCCAUGAAUAAUACCUCUAUUUAAUCCUAAAGGAUUAAGCUUUUAAAUGGUGUAAACAAAAAAAAAAUUUUAGAAGUAGAAAAAAAUUUAUUUCUCAAAAAAUUCAUUAUUUUUUUUUUUUGAAAAAAAAAUUUUUAAGUUUGAGCUCGUUUAUCUCGGAAGAAGUUUCUUUUUGAAAAAAAUAAUUUAACAAAAAAGAAAGCUACAUUUACGUAAAAAAAGGGCUGUUUUGUCCGCAUUUUCUGGAACGUUACCGUUUAGGCCCCACAACCGUUUAAGUCCGCGAGGUACCCCGCAAAAAGUUCAAAAUUCAUUCACAGAAAAAUCCGACUUCUAAAGGGUUUAUCUUAAAAAGCGCCCUUUCAGAGCUGCUUUAUAUAAAGGCCUUUAACGUCAAUGAGUUUCAGAAAAUUCGGCUAGGUCAGUUUUCCAGAACGGCUUAAUCGAAAUGUUUUCGUCAAAAAACCGUUUUUUGCCACGCCCACCCCUUCGGGGUGGAUGUGGCGAAAAAAUUUUUCUACCAUUAUAUACGCUCAUCCUUCUUACAUAAAACGGUAAAAGCCCGAAAAAAAAUUCGCGAUAGAACCAAAGUUAUUAGCGUUUAUGUGACGCAGGGCCGAAAAUCGCCCGAUUUGUCACGAGCACAUAAUAAGAGCUUCGAUUUUAUAAUAAUUAUUCUCCGCAAACGCAGGUAUCAUUUUCGGCUUGUGACAGUUCAUUCAACAUUCUGCCGCUUAUUUAUUAUUAAUAAGAUAAACUAAUAAAAGGUUACUACUGGA